GACAGCACCAUAAGGAGUCUGUGUUCCUGCACAAAGAUUAAGUGUGUGACAGUGUCUGUCGAGUUCAUAUUUCAAACCAGGAGACAUCCUCAGUUCCUGAGAAUAAACUCAGUGCUGUUUUCAGGAAACAGACUGUUCAUGGUCAGUUCUGGAUCUCUGUCAUCUCCCCGAAGGCCACUGGGCCCAAACACGUGCACCGGGUGACAAGUGUUCCACCUCUGCAUAAGGACAGCCAGCCCUCAUUCCUUUUGGAACACGAGCCCAGGGCUGACUUAAUUGAAGUGGGCAGUGUUAGGACCGAAGUCAACACACACUCACAUUCAUGAAGGUCCAUGGAAUGAGCCAACUAAGGGAAGACCAGCUGGCUAGAUUCUUCAUAAAAUGGGGGAUUUUCCUGUUCCAGAAAGUGAUCCAGUUGCUACAUCCAGAGUGAAAAAUUAAAUCCUCAUCUUCUCAUCCAUCAAGCUGGGCUUCAUUCAUAUUAAUGUGUCCCACAGCGAGAUCUACUCUACAUCCUCUUUCAGCUUGGGCAUCUUGGCUGAUUGGGAUUCCAUACAGCAGAUGGCACUGAUGGAUAUUGUACCUACACAACCUUCAGGUGACAUACGAGCACCUCUGCGCCCCUGGCUCAUGGACAUCUAAGAAAAACCCAUCUGGACCUUUCAGUCAGUGGACACACAGGAAGUGAAUUAUGAAUAAGCAAUUUUAUUCUCUCAAAAUCAGAGCAGAAAAUGCUCAAAAAAUCCAUCUGGACCUAAAGAUAAGCUGCAAAGUCACUGUUGCACAAUAACAAAUUUGAAUUGUAAACCAGAAGUGUGCUGAAUGCUGAGUCAUGUGAUAACUAACACAAAACCUAAUUCCCUCCUCCAUUUUCCUCUGCUGGCUGAUGAUGGAUUGUUGAAUGUGUCUUUUUUUCUCUCUAACUGUCACGUUAAGCCUUUUUCCUGAAUCAUUUCUGGUUAUUAAAGUGGCCCAUUUGUCCUCUCCAUUGGUGAGUGCGGUUACACGGCCGGUGACUGAAGUGCUCUUAUGAACGGAGCGAUGACUGGACUGGGGUCAAGCCGGCCAUGAGCAUCUCUGCUGUGCUGUUCCUCCCACUUGCCUUAUUACGUUGUCAAGACAAGGCGAUUUAGUUAAUUGCCUCAUUUGGAGGUUGAAAUAUUAUGCAGCAAAUGUACUCUGUUAUGGCCAUUUUUGAGUGCUUUUCUGGAUUCAUGGUUUGUACAGGAUUGAUUUUCUUCUCCAUCUUACUUUUGCAUAGGCCAGCUUGAUUUUUGAUGUACAUGUCUAUUUAGAUAUUAGUUUAGUAGCUAUCAUUCUUUUAUAAAGAG
Long non-coding RNA from Cyprinus carpio carpio, 1331 nucleotides. Lineage: Eukaryota; Metazoa; Chordata; Actinopteri; Cypriniformes; Cyprinidae. The record is from Ensembl.